Molecule: long non-coding RNA, 1746 nt
Organism: Sceloporus undulatus (fence lizard)
Lineage: Eukaryota; Metazoa; Chordata; Lepidosauria; Squamata; Phrynosomatidae
Exons: 2
Source: RefSeq, a predicted model, not a curated record
GAGCUUUCAAGCCUCCUACACAUGGGAAAUCUUUCCCCAUCAAUUUGUCUGAUACAUGAGCUGAGUGCAUGCCCUUGACAACAUGCUCAUCUCUCUCCAAAUGAGAACACGGGGGAAGAUUGGUAGCAGCUGGUGAACCAUCUUGCAGGAAACCUUUUUCAUCGUGAAGGAUCUUUGUGACCAGUUCCUGAUAAGUUUCCAAGAAAGCCUGAACGUUCUGCAGAAGUCUGUUUGUAAUAAUGGCUGCUUUGGGGAUGGCCGAGUUGAAUCUGCCCAGGUUCUUCUUGGUGCAGAAUUUAGAUCGUGGCACAGAAUGGAUCAUUAUGCCUCCCGCUGUCUCUCCCACUAAAUUAACACUCACAGCUUUGCCUCCUGCAGCAUCUCAUUCUCAUUCUGUCCCAUCAUCUCCAAUAUGUGGAGGAAGAAAGUCUUAGUACUUUCUGCCUGGAUAACCAGCCCAAACAUUCCUGAAAAGAAGAGAUCCCAGCGCUGAUGUCUGCCGCAAGGUUAAUAUCCUUUUGCUUUCAUGGGGAGAGACGGAGAAGGCUUGCAGCCUCCUGCCUCAAGCCAACUCAGGAGCUGGGAAGCAUUCAGUUACUUUAAUCCUUUGCACUGGCAGAGGGAGAUAAGGCUCCUAUCUUGACAGGACGUUGGUGGAGAGUAGAACAGCCUAACAGAGACAAAGCUGCUGUGCAGGCAAAGAGAAAGUGCCCGACACAGGGAAAGAGAGGCUGCAGGAAAAGAACUCUGUAGUAGGCACUGGCAUUUAAAGCCCUAAACAACUUGGGACUGCAAAACUUAAAGGAGAACCUCUCCUUAUGUAUUCCUGCUUGAGGAUUGAUCUCUGCUAGAGCAAUGCUCCUCUGUCCCAAAAGUCGGGAUGAUACAAUGGGGGGGGGGGGGCACAAGAGAGGGCCUUUUUGACUGUGGCACCCCACUUGAGGAAUGCCUUCCCCAUGGGAGUCCUGACUGAUGCCUACCUUGGGUACACAGGACCAUCCCAUGUCUUCUCUCGAUCUUGCUCCUUUCCCACAUUUUUUCUUCCUUCCCUUUCACAUGAAAGCAGGCCAAACUUUGUAGUUUCCCUAGCCCCAGUUUGAGGGUCUGUUCAAGCAUUUCCAUGUCCUCCUUAAGCAGGGCUGUGUGGCAAUGUGAGAUGGGCACCAAAGACAUUCAGCAAUGCCUCAGUUCACACCCAGGGUACCAAGUUCUUUCACUUAGGUUACUCUUGAAGGAGCACUUCAGAAAGGAUGUCCACACCACACCAAUGGCUUCCCAGAACAAUAAGCCAGCAUUCUCUCUUGUUAAUUUAUCUAUAACGUUGCACAAGUCUUGUGCAAACCAUUUCUUGCUGAAUCCAGGAUGCUUCUAUUAAUUUUUUAAAUUUUUUUCAUUUGCAUUUGGCUUUUCUUCCACUGAACUCAAAGAAGCAUGCAUGGCUCUCCUUCUCCUCUUUACUUUUCUCUCCUCGCAACCACCCUACGAGGUAGAUUAGGAUGUGUGCAUGAGAGAAACGCUAGUCCAGUCAGCACUAGGAUGCCCCACUGGCACCAACACUCAUUUUAUUCCAGUGCCAAGUAAAAACAGGGUUGGUAUUGUUUAAAAUAAUAGCCACUGGGUGUGUGUAAUUGAUUUAAUCCAAAAGCUAGGUGUGCAUUUUUAAAAACCGUUUCAACCUUUUACUACCUGUUUCAUAUGCUUGGGUCUGUUUAAAUAUAUUUUCAUUAAACCUGAAAUUAUUUUAAA